CCUACGGGAGGCAGCAGUGGGGAAUAUUGGACAAUGGGCGAAAGCCUGAUCCAGCAAUGCCGCGUGUGUGAAGAAGGCCCUAGGGUUGUAAAGCACUUUCAAUGGGGAAGAAAAGCAGAGUACCAAUACUGCUCUGUCAUGACGUUACCCAUAGAAGAAGCACCGGCUAACUCCGUGCCAGCAGCCGCGGUAAUACGGAGGGUGCGAGCGUUAAUCGGAAUUACUGGGCGUAAAGGGCGCGUAGGCGGUCCGAUAAGUUGGAUGUGAAAGCCCCGGGCUCAACCUGGGAAUUGCAUCCAAUACUGUCGGACUGGAGUGUAAUAGAGGGAAGUGGAAUUCCCGGUGUAGCGGUGUAAUGCGUAGAUAUCGGGAGGAACACCAGUGGCGAAGGCGGCUUCCUGGAUUAACACUGACGCUGAGGCGCGAAAGCGUGGGGAGCAAACAGGAUUAGAUACCCUGGUGGUCCACGCCCUAAACUAUGAGAACUAGCCGUUGGGGGUAUUUGAAACCUUUAGUGGCGCAGCUAACGCGAUAAGUUCUCCGCCUGGGGAGUACGGCCGCAAGGUUAAAACUCAAAUGAAUUGACGG
This 588-nucleotide ribosomal RNA is filed under the name uncultured bacterium. RNAcentral's name for it is "bacterial SSU rRNA". It matches the Rfam family "Bacterial small subunit ribosomal RNA", at positions 338 to 916 of the family's 1533-position model. The record is from RNAcentral.